AUGGCAGGGCAAGGGUUGAGGCUUGGAGGAAUAAGCAGAAAUCUUACUGUUUUCUUUCUUAGAAAUUUUGAAGAACUUCAACUUUAUUCUGCAGAUAGAGUUUCCAAACUUAUGAGACUUAAUAGUCCUGGAGGGAUGAGCAGGGGCAUCUGGAACGACUGUCUGAACCAUCAGUUAGCCCUUGGUUUUGGGCCUGCUGUCUCUCUUGCCGUUAUCAAAGAAGAUGAGCCCCUGCUGGCAAAGACCGGGAAGUCAGAUAGGAGAGAAAACAAAAUCUGA
RNAcentral lists this long non-coding RNA (279 nucleotides) under Oryctolagus cuniculus (rabbit). RNAcentral's name for it is "lncRNA (ENSOCUG00000033102.1)". The record is from RNAcentral. Lineage: Eukaryota; Metazoa; Chordata; Mammalia; Lagomorpha; Leporidae.